UACAUAGGGGGCAAGCGUUGUUCGGAAUUACUGGGCGUAAAGGGCGCGUAGGCGGCCGCCUAAGUCAGACGUGAAAUCCCUCGGCUCAACCGGGGAACUGCGUCUGAUACUGGGUGGCUUGAAUCCGGGAGAGGGAUGCGGAAUUCCACGUGUAGCAGUGAAAUGCGUAGAGAUGUGGAGGAACACCGAUGGCGAAGGCAGCCCCCUGGGUCAAGAUUGACGCUCAUGCACGAAAGCGUGGGGAGCAAACAGG
RNAcentral lists this ribosomal RNA (253 nucleotides) under uncultured bacterium. RNAcentral describes it as "partial 16S ribosomal RNA". It matches the Rfam family "Bacterial small subunit ribosomal RNA", at positions 524 to 776 of the family's 1533-position model. The record is from RNAcentral.